UACGGAGGGUGCGAGCGUUGUCCGGAAUCACUGGGCGUAAAGGGCGCGUAGGCGGUCUGGAUAAGCGUGGGGUGAAAGUCCGGGGCUCAACCCCGGAUCGGCCUUGCGGACUGUCCGACUGGAGCACAGUAGAGGCGGGUGGAAUUCCGGGUGUAGCGGUGGAAUGCGUAGAGAUCCGGAAGAACACCGGUGGCGAAGGCGGCCCGCUGGGCUGUGGCUGACGCUGAGGCGCGACAGCGUGGGGAGCAAACAGG
RNAcentral lists this ribosomal RNA (254 nucleotides) under uncultured Gemmatimonas sp. RNAcentral's name for it is "partial 16S ribosomal RNA". It matches the Rfam family "Bacterial small subunit ribosomal RNA", at positions 524 to 776 of the family's 1533-position model. The record is from RNAcentral. Lineage: Bacteria; Pseudomonadati; Gemmatimonadota; Gemmatimonadia; Gemmatimonadales; Gemmatimonadaceae.